UACAGAGGUCCCGAGCGUUGUUCGGAAUCACUGGGCGUAAAGGGUGCGUAGGCGGGUCUUUAAGUCAGGGGUGAAAUCCUGGAGCUCAACUCCAGAACUGCCUUUGAUACUGAAGAUCUUGAGUUCGGGAGAGGUGAGUGGAACUGCGAGUGUAGAGGUGAAAUUCGUAGAUAUUCGCAAGAACACCAGUGGCGAAGGCGGCUCACUGGCCCGAUACUGACGCUGAGGCACGAAAGCGUGGGGAGCAACAGG
This 252-nucleotide ribosomal RNA is filed under the name uncultured bacterium. Its description in RNAcentral is "partial 16S ribosomal RNA". It matches the Rfam family "Bacterial small subunit ribosomal RNA", at positions 524 to 775 of the family's 1533-position model. The record is from RNAcentral.